This 194-nucleotide ribosomal RNA is filed under the name uncultured bacterium. RNAcentral describes it as "partial 16S ribosomal RNA". It matches the Rfam family "Bacterial small subunit ribosomal RNA", at positions 338 to 524 of the family's 1533-position model. The record is from RNAcentral.
CCUACGGGAGGCAGCAGUCGGGAAUUUUGGGCAAUGGGCGCAAGCCUGAUCCAGCAAUGCCGCGUGAGUGAAGAAGGCCUUCGGGUUGUAAAGCUCUUUUGUCAGGGAAGAAACGACAUCCUCUAAUACAGGGUGUUAAUGACGGUACCUGAAGAAUAAGCACCGGCUAACUACGUGCCAGCAGCCGCGGUAAU